Molecule: ribosomal RNA, 1357 nt
Filed under: metagenome
Description: bacterial LSU rRNA
Rfam family: Bacterial large subunit ribosomal RNA
Source: RNAcentral
UCUGUUCGCGAAGCAAUUGGAAGUGGUUCCAAGAAAAGCCUCUAAGCUUCAGUCUAACGAGACCGUACCGCAAACCGACACAGGUGGGCGAGAUGAGUAUUCUAAGGCGCUUGAGAGAACUCGGGAGAAGGAACUCGGCAAAUUUGUACCGUAACUUCGGGAUAAGGUACGCCCUAGUAGUUUGACUGGCCUGCGCCAGAAGGACAAACGGGUUGCAAUAAAAAGGUGGCUGCGACUGUUUAAUAAAAACACAGCACUCUGCAAACACGAAAGUGGACGUAUAGGGUGUGACGCCUGCCCGGUGCUGGAAGAUUAAAUGAUGGGGUGCAAGCUCUUGAUUGAAGUCCCAGUAAACGGCGGCCGUAACAAUAACGGUCCUAAGGUAGCGAAAUUCCUUGUCGGGUAAGUUCCGACCUGCACGAAUGGCGUAACGAUGGCCACACUGUCUCCUCCCGAGACUCAGCGAAGUUGAAAUGUUUGUGAUGAUGCAAUCUACCCGCGGCUAGACGGAAAGACCCCAUGAACCUUUACUGUAGCUUUGCAUUGGACUUUGAACCAAUCUGUGUAGGAUAGGUGGGAGGCUUUGAAGUAGGGACGCUAGUCUCUAUGGAGCCAUCCUUGAAAUACCACCCUGGUUUGUUUGAGGUUCUAACCUUGGUCCGUUAUCCGGAUCGGGGACAGUGCAUGGUAGGCAGUUUUGACUGGGGCGGUCUCCUCCCAAAGUGUAACGGAGGAGUUCGAAGGUACGCUAGAUACGGUCGGACAUCGUGUUGAUAGUGCAAUGGCAUAAGCGUGCUUAACUGCGAGACUGACAAGUCGAGCAGGUACGAAAGUAGGACAUAGUGAUCCGGUGGUUCUGUAUGGAAGGGCCAUCGCUCAACGGAUAAAAGGUACUCUGGGGAUAACAGGCUGAUUCCUCCCAAGAGUUCAUAUCGACGGGGGAGUUUGGCACCUCGAUGUCGGCUCAUCACAUCCUGGGGCUGUAGCCGGUCCCAAGGGUAUGGCUGUUCGCCAUUUAAAGUGGUACGUGAGCUGGGUUUAAAACGUCGUGAGACAGUUUGGUCCCUAUCUGCCGUGGGCGUUGGAAGUUUGAAGGGGGCUGCUCCUAGUACGAGAGGACCGGAGUGGACGAACCUCUGGUGUAUCGGUUGUCACGCCAGUGGCAUUGCCGAGUAGCUAAGUUCGGAAGAGAUAACCGCUGAAAGCAUCUAAGCGGGAAACUCGCCUUGAGAUGAGACUUCCCGGGAGUUUAACUCCCCUAAAGGGUCGUUCGAGACCAGGACGUUGAUAGGUCAGGUGUGGAAGCGCAGUAAUGCGUUAAGCUAACUGAUACUAAUUGCCCGUGUGGCUUGUCCAA